RNAcentral lists this ribosomal RNA (40 nucleotides) under Ulvella sp. 4-BER-2007. RNAcentral describes it as "partial 28S large subunit ribosomal RNA". Lineage: Eukaryota; Viridiplantae; Chlorophyta; Ulvophyceae; Ulvales; Ulvellaceae. The record is from RNAcentral.
CGGCCUGAGUUCAGACGAGGCUACCCACUGAAAUUAAGCA